GAUGAAGAACGUAGCGAAAUGCGAUAAGUAAUGUGAAUUGCAGAAUUCAGUGAAUCAUCGAAUCUUUGAACGCACCUUGCACCCUUUGGCAUUCCGAAGGGUAUGCUCGUUUGAGUGUCAUUGUACUCUCACACUUCCAAUCUUUGGAUUGGGAGCAGUGGACUUGGGUGUUGCUGCUUACUGUGGCUCACCUCAAAUCGAUUCGUGCACCUCUUGGUUGGACAUAGUACGGCGUGAUAAGUGUCUUCGCCGGCACCUCAGUAGAGGGUGGCUGAUCAGGAGCUCUGUGCUUCAAACCGUCCUCGGACAACAACUGACAACUUGACCUCAAAUCGAGUAGGACUACCCGCUGAACUUAAGCAUAUCAAUAAGCGGUGGA
Molecule: unclassified non-coding RNA, 379 nt
Filed under: soil metagenome
Description: partial contains 5.8S ribosomal RNA, internal transcribed spacer 2, and large subunit ribosomal RNA
Rfam family: 5.8S ribosomal RNA (bases 1-120)
Source: RNAcentral